AUGCAAGUCGAGCGAACUGAUUAGAAGCUUGCUUCUAUGACGUUAGCGGCGGACGGGUGAGUAACACGUGGGCAACCUGCCUGUAAGACUGGGAUAACUUCGGGAAACCGAAGCUAAUACCGGAUAGGAUCUUCUCCUUCAUGGGAGAUGAUUGAAAGAUGGUUUCGGCUAUCACUUACAGAUGGGCCCGCGGUGCAUUAGCUAGUUGGUGAGGUAACGGCUCACCAAGGCAACGAUGCAUAGCCGACCUGAGAGGGUGAUCGGCCACACUGGGACUGAGACACGGCCCAGACUCCUACGGGAGGCAGCAGUAGGGAAUCUUCCGCAAUGGACGAAAGUCUGACGGAGCAACGCCGCGUGAGUGAUGAAGGCUUUCGGGUCGUAAAACUCUGUUGUUAGGGAAGAACAAGUACAAGAGUAACUGCUUGUACCUUGACGGUACCUAACCAGAAAGCCACGGCUAACUACGUGCCAGCAGCCGCGGUAAUACGUAGGUGGCAAGCGUUAUCCGGAAUUAUUGGGCGUAAAGCGCGCGCAGGCGGUUUCUUAAGUCUGAUGUGAAAGCCCACGGCUCAACCGUGGAGGGUCAUUGGAAACUGGGGAACUUGAGUGCAGAAGAGAAAAGCGGAAUUCCACGUGUAGCGGUGAAAUGCGUAGAGAUGUGGAGGAACACCAGUGGCGAAGGCGGCUUUUUGGUCUGUAACUGACGCUGAGGCGCGAAAGCGUGGGGAGCAAACAGGAUUAGAUACCUGGUAGUACACGCCGUAAACGAUGAGUGCUAAGUGUUAGAGGGUUUCCGCCCUUUAGUGCUGCAGCUAACGCAUUAAGCACUCCGCCUGGGGAGUACGGUCGCAAGACUGAAACUCAAAGGAAUUGACGGGGGCCCGCACAAGCGGUGGGAGCAUGUUGGUUUAAUUGGAAGCCAACGCGAAGAACCUUACCAGGUCUUGACAUCCUCUGACAACUCUAGAGAUAGAGCGUUCCCCUUCGGGGGACAGAGUGACAGGUGGUGCAUGGUUGUCGUCAGCUCGUGUCGUGAGAUGUUGGGUUAAGUCCCGCAACGAGCGCAACCCUUGAUCUUAGUUGCCAGCAUUUAGUUGGGCACUCUAAGGUGACUGCCGGUGACAAACCGGAGGAAGGUGGGGAUGACGUCAAAUCAUCAUGCCCCUUAUGACCUGGGCUACACACGUGCUACAAUGGAUGGUACAAAGGGCUGCAAGACCGCGAGGUCAAGCCAAUCCCAUAAAACCAUUCUCAGUUCGGAUUGUAGGCUGCAACUCGCCUACAUGAAGCUGGAAUCGCUAGUAAUCGCGGAUCAGCAUGCCGCGGUGAAUACGUUCCCGGGCCUUGUACACACCGCCCGUCACACCACGAGAGUUUGUAACACCCGAAGUCGGUGGAGUAACCGUAAGGAGCUAGCCGCCUAAGGUG
This 1431-nucleotide ribosomal RNA is filed under the name Priestia aryabhattai. RNAcentral describes it as "Bacillus aryabhattai 16S ribosomal RNA". It matches the Rfam family "Bacterial small subunit ribosomal RNA". The record is from RNAcentral. Lineage: Bacteria; Bacillati; Bacillota; Bacilli; Caryophanales; Bacillaceae.